UCUUAGCUAGCUCGUUAAGUUUUACCCUGAAUGUAGGCCUGAGCUGGGUCGCAAGACCCAUAGCGCUUCCUUGGGGGCCACAUUUAGGCUGGCCUCUUGGCUAGAUCCCUUGUCCGACUUCUAGGGAUGUCAAGACGAAUUUGCAGCGAGGACCGCGCAAACCCUCAGGAAAACACAGCGCUUCCGGGGCAAGAACAGGGGGCUUAUUGGAGCCGCGAGUGCUAACAGGAUCUGCCAAAGAAGAAAAGUAGAGUAAGGUCUGGAGAGAAGGACAGGACCCAGAAGAGCCAGCGUUUAACGACCGGACAUGUCUUAUUUUGCUCAGCCCAGGAGUGGAAUGGUUAAGAACUUAGAGAGACAGACAGGGAACUCCGAAUGCCAGCUCUUGUACUUAGGAACCAUGCGAUCCUGGCUUGAAUGUGUUUCCUUACUGAUUGCACUUCAACCCUCACCUGUAAAUGUAAGGACAAUCUCACAGUGUCGCUGUGGGGAUGACAUGGAGCAGCGUGGGAAGUGCCAAGCACUGUGCUUGUCAUCCAGCCAGCCUGCAGCAGUUAAGAGCCUUUAUCAUGCUUAAUAAUGUCACGGGAGGGGUCCAGCUGACCAGAGUGGAUUAGAAUGGGUGCAACUUCUCAGCCACCAUCUUUGGGUGCGGAACGUCCUCUGGAUUCCUUGUCUUUAAACUCGGGAUAACGUAGUAAGUUUUAAGGAUGACAGCCCUCCUUAACUCAAAGUCUGCUUUUGUUGAGAAAUGAGCAAACACCAGGGGAUGGCCCUGGCUAAAGAUGGAUGGCAUCUGGACCGCCUGACUCACAUCAGUACCUCUGGGUGUGGGCAACGGAGUUUGCUGUACCAGCUUGUCAACACAGUAAGCCUGCUGUUUGGCUCAGAGCGUUGGAUGGACAAUCAGCACGAGCACUCUGGAAAGAGAGACUCCAGAGACUCCAAGGCCUAGUCUGCGCAUGCUGUAGAAGACAUCAGAUCGUUUGGCACCUUACUUUCUUGGUAAAUGAAAGUGGGCUGUGUUAAGAAGCUGAGACCUCCGCGGUUGCCACUUCCUGGUCUGCAGGCUGUUAGGUAGCUUCUGUCACACAGCCCAUGGCCGGUGAGUUACCACCACUGGCGACUGAGUGUCCCAGAAGGCAAAGACUUCCCAAUCACCUUUGUCUGGAACAAUACCUUCCACAGGGCCAAGUAGAUUAGAGAUUCAUGCCUGGUGUAGACCAACUGGCCAACAAAUGCUGAUGCUUGCCCCAUCCUUGUAAUUGUGAUUUCCUGGAGUCCUGACUGCAGUUCCUCUGAUUUCUUUUAUGGGCCUUAGUAAGUCCCCUGGGUGUUACCUUAUCUGUGCUUGCCGGGUUUUCACCAAUCUAACUCUUCCUUGUCAGUCAUGCCCAGGGGGCGUUCCCUGAACCACACAGCAACCACACAGUAAAAUACAUCAAGCCAGGAAGAGUAUAUCCCUCUGGGCUUACAUUUUCUCCAUUAGAAAAGUAAAGACAUUGGA
Molecule: non-coding RNA, 1507 nt
Organism: Myodes glareolus (Bank vole)
Lineage: Eukaryota; Metazoa; Chordata; Mammalia; Rodentia; Cricetidae
Source: RefSeq, a predicted model, not a curated record